AGCGAACGCUGGCGGCAGGCUUAACACAUGCAAGUCGAGCGCCCCGCAAGGGGAGCGGCAGACGGGUGAGUAACACGUGGGAACGUACCCUUUGGUUCGGAACAACUCAGGGAAACUUGGGCUAAUACCGGAUAAGUCCGCGAGGAGAAAGAUUUAUCGCCGAAGGAUCGGCCCGCGUCUGAUUAGCUAGUUGGUGUGGUAACGGCGCACCAAGGCGACGAUCAGUAGCUGGUCUGAGAGGAUGAUCAGCCACACUGGGACUGGGACACGGCCCAGACUCCUACGGGAGGCAGCAGUGGGGAAUAUUGGACAAUGGGGGCAACCCUGAUCCAGCCAUGCCGCGUGAGUGAUGAAGGCCCUAGGGUUGUAAAGCUCUUUCGGUGGGGAAGAUAAUGACGGUACCCACAGAAGAAGCCCCGGCUAACUUCGUG
RNAcentral lists this ribosomal RNA (431 nucleotides) under uncultured bacterium. Its description in RNAcentral is "partial 16S ribosomal RNA". It matches the Rfam family "Bacterial small subunit ribosomal RNA", at positions 29 to 507 of the family's 1533-position model. The record is from RNAcentral.